GUCCCUCAGAGGCAGAGCCCCUGCAGAAGGUGCUGCCAUUAAUGAACAGCACUUGCCAGACACCAGGAGGAAAUCCACUGAGGCCACAGCCCAGGCCCUGCAGCAAUCAGGCCAAUCAUCUAUGCUGUCCUAGUGGUGGCUACCAUGGCUGUGGCUCCCACAGUGUCCCAGGCCUGUGCUGGGCAGUACCCACGGAAGAGAAGCCCAGCACAGAGAGGACCCGAAAUUCUCCCAACAUUCACAGGAAGGGAAGAGCCCUUGCCCCCACCAACCACACUAGGGCUCAGCGGAGAUAACAUCUGACCCAGGCCGUCUGCUCCGUGCACCCAGCAAGAGUGCUAGCAUGUGACACACGGCAGCGAGCUCCUGCGUGGGCGAGGGGAUGAUGGAUGGAUGGACUGGC
Long non-coding RNA from Heterocephalus glaber (naked mole-rat), 403 nucleotides. RefSeq lists it as uncharacterized. The record is from RefSeq and is a predicted model, not a curated record. NCBI's taxonomy places the organism in Eukaryota, Metazoa, Chordata, Mammalia, Rodentia, Bathyergidae.